Molecule: long non-coding RNA, 201 nt
Filed under: Vigna radiata
Lineage: Eukaryota; Viridiplantae; Streptophyta; Magnoliopsida; Fabales; Fabaceae
Description: long non-coding RNA (VRAD_LNC001756)
Source: RNAcentral
CUGGGAAAAAUCAAGACGAAAACUAGGGAACUACUCAAACAUCAGGGAGGUGACACAGACUCGGCAGACAGACAACAAAGACUCACAAAACAGAAACAGAGUUGCACAAUUCUCACAAAAUCUGGACAGUGAAAGGAAGUGGACAUUAUCCAACACAAAAGCAACGAAAGCGGAUACUCACAGAAUCAUCCAAACAAUUCA